ACAGAGGGUGCAAGCGUUAAUCGGAAUGACUGGGCGUAAAGGGCGCGUAGGUGGUUAUUUAAGUUAGAUGUGAAAGCCCCGGGCUUAACCUGGGAACUGCAUCUAAUACUGAAUAGCUUGAGUAGAAUAGAGGGGAGUGGAAUUUCCGGUGUAGCGGUGGAAUGCGUAGAUAUCGGAAGGAACACCAGUGGCGAAGGCGGCUCCCUGGAUUCAUACUGACACUGAGGCGCGAAAGCGUGGGGAGCAAACAGGAUUAGAUACCCUGGUAGUCCACGCCGUAAACGAUGAGAACUAGAUGUUAGGAGGGUUACCUCUUAGUAUCGCAGCUAACGCAUUAAGUUCUCCGCCUGGGGAGUACGGUCGCAAGAUUA
This 371-nucleotide ribosomal RNA is filed under the name uncultured bacterium. Its description in RNAcentral is "bacterial SSU rRNA". It matches the Rfam family "Bacterial small subunit ribosomal RNA", at positions 525 to 896 of the family's 1533-position model. The record is from RNAcentral.